GUGGUGGAGGUGAUAGUAAUUUAAAUUGAUCCUACCUACUACAUGUUGAAAAAAUAGGAGCAAAGAGAAAUAAUAGGAAGCUCAAAGCAAAAAAGACUUGGUGAAGAAAACUCUAUUAAGAGGUAUAAGUUAAAAAGUUUACAACUCACCCACACUGAGCUUUGGUGUAUAUUAGUUAAAAAUUUUACAACUUACUCACUCUGAGCUUUGGCGUAUCUAACCACACCAUAGUAUACUUCCACUUACCUCUUUGUUUACUCACGUGCACACAUAAGAUACCACUCACACUUUGCGCUAAGGGCGAACACUCAUUUUUAUAAACUCAAAACUUUAGUGUUUCUCACUCUCACUUGUACUCUUUGGUUGCUUGCUCUUGCACAUAAAAUUUACACACACACACACCUCUAUUUAUUGUAGACGAGUGACGAUAGGGGUGACCACGGUUAAUAAGAACAGCCGAUUACAGUUUUUGAAUUUUUGUUUUAAAUUCAAUAUAAUUAUGAACUUAAAUCAAAUCUUCAUAAAAUAACUUGAGAGACGAUUCUUGAAUCAAUGGUCUUUGAAUUGUCGAUUUUGAUUCAAGUCCCAAUUUAAAAUGAUUUGAAAGGUGGUUUAAAGAAGGAUGGCUCAAAACAGUUUGAG
This 642-nucleotide unclassified non-coding RNA is filed under the name Hevea brasiliensis (rubber tree). The record is from RNAcentral. Lineage: Eukaryota; Viridiplantae; Streptophyta; Magnoliopsida; Malpighiales; Euphorbiaceae.